CCUACGAGGAGCAGCAGUGAGGAAUAUUGGUCAAUGGCCGAGAGGCUGAACCCGCCAAGUCGCGUGAGGGAAGACGGCCCUACGGGUUGUAAACCUCUUUUGUCGGGGAGCAAAGCGAGUCACUUGUGACUCAUUGAGAGUACCCGACGCAAAAGCAUCGGCUAACUCCGUGCCAGCAGCCGCGGUAAUACGGAGGAUGCGAGCGUUAUCCGGAUUUAUUGGGUUUAAAGGGAGCGUAGAUGGGUUGUUAAGUCAGUUGUGAAAGUUUGCGGCUCAACCGUAAAAGUGCAAUUGAUACUGGCAGUCGUGAGUACAGUUGAGGUAGGCGGAAUUCGUGGUGUAGCGGUGAAAUGCUUAGAUAUCACGAAGAACCCCGAUUGCGAAGGCAGCUUACUAAACUGUGACUGACAUUGAUGCUCGAAAGUGUGGGUAUCAAACAGGAUUAGAUACCCCAGUC
Molecule: ribosomal RNA, 457 nt
Filed under: uncultured bacterium
Lineage: Bacteria
Description: partial 16S ribosomal RNA
Rfam family: Bacterial small subunit ribosomal RNA
Source: RNAcentral